GCGUCUAGACGUAGGGAUCUUCCGCAAUGGGCGAAAGCCUGACGGAGCAACGCCGCGUGAGUGAUGAAGGUCUUCGGAUCGUAAAACUCUGUUAUCAGGGAAGAACAAAUGUGUAAGUAACUGUGCACAUCUUGACGGUACCUGAUCAGAAAGCCACGGCUAACUACGUGCCAGCAGCCGCGGUAAUACGUAGGUGGCAAGCGUUAUCCGGAAUUAUUGGGCGUAAAGCGCGCGUAGGCGGUUUUUUAAGUCUGAUGUGAAAGCCCACGGCUCAACCGUGGAGGGUCAUUGGAAACUGGAAAACUUGAGUGCAGAAGAGGAAAGUGGAAUUCCAUGUGUAGCGGUGAAAUGCGCAGAGAUAUGGAGGAACACCAGUGGCGAAGGCGACUUUCUGGUCUGUAACUGACGCUGAUGUGCGAAAGCGUGGGGAUCAAACAGGAUUAGAUACCCUGGUAGUCCACGCCGUAAACGAUGAGUGCUAAGUGUUAGGGGGUUUCCGCCCCUUAGUGCUGCAGCUAACGCAUUAAGCACUCCGCCUGGGGAGUACGACCGCAAGGUU
RNAcentral lists this ribosomal RNA (559 nucleotides) under Staphylococcus pasteuri. RNAcentral describes it as "bacterial SSU rRNA". It matches the Rfam family "Bacterial small subunit ribosomal RNA", at positions 345 to 895 of the family's 1533-position model. Lineage: Bacteria; Bacillati; Bacillota; Bacilli; Caryophanales; Staphylococcaceae. The record is from RNAcentral.